AAACCAACAUGCCUGAUGCGCGUGCGCCGAAAGCUGGGCACGAAGAAGCCAGUUAGCAAUUAGCAACUUAGCUUCCACGGCUUCUCGCAGGCACCGUGGAAGAGGGGAGGAGGCGAAGCGUGUGCAGCAGCAGUACCCCGGGUGACCAGUUGACGCUAAUCGGGGAUCCGACGGGUCACGGCACUAAACUAUUUAAAACUUUAAGUAUAUUAAACAUUUUAAUAUUUUAAAAACAAUUUAAACUGGACUAAUGCUCUAAUGGUCAUUUUAGAGAAUUAGUAUAUUAAAAACCAGAUUAAUACUAUACAUUUGCAGACAUUUAUCUUUAGUUUUACGAACCUAGUUGGUUUUUAUGUGUUACAACUUUGUUAUUGUGAGCUACACUACUGUCCAGAUCCCUCAGAAGGACUGAGUGUUGAAGACAUGGAAGAAAGCAGUUGAUGAUUCAGGUGGAAGUACUGAAAAAAGACCCAGAUCACAAGCAGAUAGAUGAGUUAAUGUCUGCCACGUUUUCCAAGCGCAGAAAGGAGAUUGUGGGGAUCAACCUCUCAUCGGGGAUGUUAUGGCAAAAUGGCCGGCCAUGUUCUGUGAGAGACAGAGAGCAUGGCUGAUGCUGUUUUUGGUGGUGCACUGAAGGCCAUUUUGGAUUUGGAUCUUUUUGUCUGAAGAAAGAGGACACAAACAAAAGGAUAAAGACUGCGGCUCUGCUGGGUCUGCCACACUAUUUUUCCGAAAAGCCUCAAACAUCAUCAGGAUGUGUGACGCAAGAUUUCUCACAUACAUACACACCCACAUGUACAACACUUGUGCACACACAUACCACACACAGUCACACACACAACCUUAAACACAUUGAUUGGAUUAACCCAUUUAAUCCUGAUUUUUUUUCUGAAAAGUUAAGUACAUAGAUUUUACUCUUUAGACCUCUCUAAUGAACAUGUCUUUCUUUCGUUGUAUGUUGGUUAAGUUGCUCAAAUUUUAAGUUUUAUGGUUAGUCACAAUUGUGACCGCUGGGAACAUACAUAGUCUGUUUUAGACAGUAAAAACGGACUAUGUUGUCCAUAGAGAUAUAUUGAAUACUUUUCAACAUUUGUUUACAGAAUAAGGAUAUGCAUAAUAGACCUAACCAUAUCUCAUGAUUCUCUACUUAGUGGGUAUUGUCAUAACUACUUUCAUUUUAACAUUUCAAGUGUGUAAAUAGCCGUUAUUAGUCUAAGUGUGCGAAUAGGCCUCAUUAUAGGAAUUCUUGACAAUGUAUUUUCCCAGCGGUCACAAUUGUGAUCAGGCCCAAAUAUGCACCUCUUCUGAGCACAAUAUAUACACAGGCGUACAAUUUUCUACAUGUAACCCCUUCAAGAGUAUGUGUACCAAAUUCGAUAGUUUUGUAUGCAUAUUAGGUAUUUAACCUAAACAUUCACACAAUUCUUUUUUGCUAUGAAGGGCAUGCAGCUUGACAGAGCUUCACGGAGCCACGGCAACCAUUGUUUAGACAUCCCUUAGAGACCUUAGCAUACCUGUGCAUUCCAUUGUUAAAUUGCUAAACAAAAGGCAUCACAAUGACGUUCUAACCAGUCACUUUAUACUUUAAUACAAUGUUAUUAAAAUGACUACAGUGUGUGUGUUUUUGUUUGUUUGUUUU
This is a long non-coding RNA of Cynoglossus semilaevis (tongue sole), 1639 nucleotides long. RefSeq lists it as uncharacterized. Lineage: Eukaryota; Metazoa; Chordata; Actinopteri; Pleuronectiformes; Cynoglossidae. The transcript has 4 exons. The record is from RefSeq and is a predicted model, not a curated record.